This 350-nucleotide long non-coding RNA is filed under the name Pelobates cultripes (western spadefoot toad). Lineage: Eukaryota; Metazoa; Chordata; Amphibia; Anura; Pelobatidae. The record is from RNAcentral.
CUAACGGAGGAGGGAAGCGAGUUCCACAGGAACGGUGCAGCCCUUGAGAAAUCUUGAAAGCGAGCAUCAGAGGUGGGAGUACGGACAGAAGAUAGACGUAAGUCUUCGGCAGAUCGUAAGGGCCUAGACGGGACAUACUUGUGUAUAAGGGAGGAUAGAUAGGUGGAAGCAGCAUUAUGUAGCGAUUUGAAAGCAAGAACCAGAAUUUUAAAUUGAGCUCUAUAUUUUAUAGGAAGCCAAUGUAGGGACUGACAGAAGGGUGAGGCAUGGGAGGUGCGGGCUGACAGGAAGAUGAGCCUCGCCGCCGCAUUCAUUAUGGACUGUAACGGCGCAAGUUGGGAGCACGUAAG